RNAcentral lists this ribosomal RNA (450 nucleotides) under uncultured Glomus. Its description in RNAcentral is "SSU rRNA". It matches the Rfam family "Eukaryotic small subunit ribosomal RNA", at positions 569 to 1025 of the family's 1831-position model. The record is from RNAcentral. Lineage: Eukaryota; Fungi; Glomeromycota; Glomeromycetes; Glomerales; Glomeraceae.
AGCAGCCGCGGUAAUUCCAGCUCCAAUAGCGUAUAUUAAAGUUGCUGCAGUUAAAAAGCUCGUAGUUGAAUUUCGGGACCAUCAUGUCGGUCGUGCCUCGGUACGUACUGGUAUUGUUGGUUUCUCCCUUCUGACGAACCAUGAUGUCAUUUAUUUGGUGUUGUGGGGAUUCAGGACUGUUACUUUGAAAAAUUAGAGUGUUUAAAGCAGGCUCACGCUUGAAUACAUUAGCAUGGAAUAAUGAAAUAGGACGUUUGAUUCUAUUUUGUUGGUUUCUAGGAUCGACGUAAUGAUUAAUAGGGAUAGUUGGGGGCAUUAGUAUUCAAUUGUCAGAGGUGAAAUUCUUGGAUUUAUUGAAGACUAACUACUGCGAAAGCAUUUGCCAAGGAUGUUUUCAUUAAUCAAGAACGAAAGUUAGGGGAUCGAAGACGAUCAGAUACCGUCGUAGUC